GAUGACCUCUAGCUACAGGCUUAACACAUGCAAGUCGAGGGGAAACGACAUCGAAAGCUUGCUUUUGAUGGGCGUCGACCGGCGCACGGGUGAGUAACGCGUAUCCAACCUGCCCACCACUUGGGGAUAACCUUGCGAAAGUAAGACUAAUACCCAAUGACGUCUCUAGAAGACAUCUGAAAGAGAUUAAAGAUUUAUCGGUGAUGGAUGGGGAUGCGUCUGAUUAGCUUGUUGGCGGGGUAACGGCCCACCAAGGUAACGAUCAGUAGGGGUUCUGAGAGGAAGGUCCCCCACAUUGGAACUGAGACACGGUCCAAACUCCUACGGGAGGCAGCAGUGAGGAAUAUUGGUCAAUGGACGAGAGUCUGAACCAGCCAAGUAGCGUGCAGGAAGACGGCCCUAUGGGUUGUAAACUGCUUUUAUAAGGGAAUAAAGUGAGUCUCGUGAGACUUUUUGCAUGUACCUUAUGAAUAAGGACCGGCUAAUUCCGUGCCAGCAGCCGCGGUAAUACGGAAGGUCCGGGCGUUAUCCGGAUUUAUUGGGUUUAAAGGGAGCGUAGGCCGGAGAUUAAGCGUGUCGUGAAAUGUAGAUGCUCAACAUCUGAACUGCAGCGCGAACUGGUUUCCUUGAGUACGCACAAAGUGGGCGGAAUUCGUGGUGUAGCGGUGAAAUGCUUAGAUAUCACGAAGAACUCCGAUUGCGAAGGCAGCUCACUGGAGCGCAACUGACGCUGAAGCUCGAAAGUGCGGGUAUCGAACAGGAUUAGAUACCCUGGUAGUCCGCACGGUAAACGAUAGAUGCCCGCUGUUGGUCUGAAUAGGUCAGCGGCCAAGCGAAAGCAUAA
This 844-nucleotide ribosomal RNA is filed under the name uncultured bacterium. Its description in RNAcentral is "bacterial SSU rRNA". It matches the Rfam family "Bacterial small subunit ribosomal RNA", at positions 28 to 862 of the family's 1533-position model. The record is from RNAcentral.